AUCAACCGAGAUUCCCCCAGUAGCGGCGAGCGAACGGGGAGGAGCCCAGAGCCUGAAUCAGUGUGUGUGUUAGUGGAAGCGUCUGGAAAGGCGCGCGAUACAGGGUGACAGCCCCGUACACAAAAAAAAUGCACAUACUGUGAGCUCGAUGAGUAGGGCGGGACACGUGGUAUCCUGUCUGAAUAUGGGGGACCAUCCUCCAAGGCUAAAUACUCCUGACUGACCGAUAGUGA
RNAcentral lists this ribosomal RNA (233 nucleotides) under Escherichia coli. RNAcentral's name for it is "partial 23S ribosomal RNA". It matches the Rfam family "Bacterial large subunit ribosomal RNA", at positions 224 to 493 of the family's 2925-position model. Lineage: Bacteria; Pseudomonadati; Pseudomonadota; Gammaproteobacteria; Enterobacterales; Enterobacteriaceae. The record is from RNAcentral.